Molecule: RNA transcript, 2799 nt
Organism: Rhinopithecus roxellana (golden snub-nosed monkey)
Lineage: Eukaryota; Metazoa; Chordata; Mammalia; Primates; Cercopithecidae
Exons: 6
Source: RefSeq, a predicted model, not a curated record
CUCACCAAAGCCGGAAGCGGCUGGCGUUUGAAAUGGUAUGAGCUGGGAGUCGCUCUGCCUGCCCGUUUCUACGCUACACUGGCCGACACUCAAGCACUGGCAGAGAGGUUCUGGGGGUGGCCUGGCAGGAGGCGGCGCAAUGGACACGCGGUCCGAGGACGGGGGCCUCAACCUCCAACCCACGCUUGCCUCUUCCUGGGAUGCCAUCUGCAGGCGGGGCCCUGACUCACAGCCUCCUCACCGGGCCGGUCUCGGCGCCCGCGACUUCGACUGGGAGGAGCUGCUGGCGCCACCUGCUCCAGGCCAGGAUCUGGUGAUUUAGAAGAGAAGCUUGAACAACCAAGAUGAAAACCCCUGCUUCCUUUACCUGAGGUGUGGCCCCGAUGGAGGUGAAGAAAUCGCUUCUAUUGGCAUUUUAAGUUCAGCAAGAAAUAUGGAAGUGUACUUAGGAGAGGAGUACUGUGGAACCAGUAGGGGCAAGAAUGUUUGUACUGUCCUGGAUGACAGUAAGCACGAAAUUAUUUUCUACAAAAAUUACUUAAUAGUGGCGUCCUCCACUCAUGCCUGUAAAAUAAAGUUGCUCUCAUUUGGUGAAAGGCAGUGUGUGUUCAUCAGUAAAGCUGUGAUACACAUGAGAGGAGUUUCAGCAAAUUCUUCAACAAGCUCUCUGGCUCUAAAAUCAAGAGUAGACCUAGACAGGAUCCAAACCAUAAUGGAGUCCAUGGGGUCAAAGUUAUUUCCUGGAGCUCAGCAAUUGAUGAAUAUGGUUAGUUCUCAUCAGUGGAAUUGUAUUCCCAUUGGAGAGCAGCUUCAGUUUGGUGUUGGGCAAUUCUGGAUACAAGCAUAUGGACUACAAUCCUCAUCUACCUUAGGAGCCUUAGACGAGUCAUCCACACGGUUCCCUUUGGGAACUGGAUUGACAUCUGGAAACGUGACUGAAAACUUACAAGCUUACAUUGAUAAAAGUACACAGGCAUCUAGUGAAGAGAAUUCUGCAAAGCUUGAUGAGUAUAAAAUUGUGCCACAAAACCAUUCCCUUCUUGAAAAUGAUCUUAAAAAUGCAAUGUCCUGUUUCUUACCAAAGAAAGCAAAUGACAACUCAAAUAUACUUAACUCUGAGUUGCUGCCGUGUCUCCAGAAUUUAUAUAAUCAAGUUAGCUAUCUCCAUGUGGGACAUAAGGAUAAGUGGCAGGAAAACAUCAUCAAGCCUGAUGAAGCCAUUCUUGGUGUUGGAAUGGAAGAGCAGCCUGUUUGCUCCUAUUUGGAAAAUAUUCUUUCUAAAAAUAUGGAACUGAUAGAAAAGAAACUUAUAGACUACAUUGAUGAGCGAAUAUAUAAACUCCAGGAGCACAUUGAUGAUAAGAUUGCUUUGUGAAUGGAUGUGCUGCAAAAUCCUAACUCCCUGCCCACUGGGCUACCUCUAAGACAUUAUGACUCUGGAGAAAGACUUUCAAAUGGAGAAAGAUAAGCUCUCAACAUAAACAGUGUACUGCAGAUGUUUAUUACCUAUUUAUUACAAACCCAAAACCCAAAAAUAUUUAUAAAAAGCAAGGAUUUAAUGUGCUUUUAAGGAUCAUCAUCUUUCUUACUGAAGUGACCUCAGUGUUCAUUAUUACUACACUUGUACUGUAUACUAAGGGUUAACACGAUAACAGUCUUAAAUUAUUUUUGCUAGUAAUAUUUUUCAUGAAUAAGUGUAUAUAUACUUCUGUGUUGUAUGUUCUAAAUGUUUAAGGAUUUCUAAUAUAAUUCAUUAGUAUAUGUAAUAUAUGUUUGAUUGAAGUACUAUUUUAAUUUAUAUGAAGACCUUAUUUUAUAGUUUCAGGGAUAUAAAAGGAAUGCUUAGAGUAUUUGAUUGUUUUUUCUAAUUGACUGUUCUUGGAGAACCGGGUAGUUAACCUGAAACCUUUAUUUUAGAUCACUAACUUAAAUUUUAUACUGUUUAUUUCAGGUAAAAAACUAGAUGUGAUAUUUGGCAUGUGUAAAAUCAGUUCACAUUGGGGCCAUUAAUUUUACAUUCUGUCACAUUGUAACAGUAGAUAAGAAAGCGAAUAUCAGAACUGGUCUAUUCCUUGUUAGGAUUAUUAUUUUGGAUUUAGUGUAUGAUGUAAAACGGGAGAAUUUAUCUCAUUUUAUCUCAGUAAACCCAGAAAGUGUAAGGAAGUCUGUUUUGUUUGUUGUUGGGUUUUUUUAAACAUUUUUUGAGCUGAUAUAGAUUCUUCUUUCCAAACCCUUUCCUGAUACAUUUAAAGUGUGAAAUGCUGAGGUUCCCCACUGAAGGAUUAAGGUAUAUAAAUCAAGGAGAUUGCAGUUAUCUCUGGCAGACUUAAUUUUCAGAGAUUGUAACUGUUGUGUGUGUGUGUUGAAGAGUGAUAUAUUUGCAUCCUAAAAAUAAAUGCAUCUUCCCUGGAAACUACAUCUGAAAUAAAUAGAAAUAUUGUCUUUUUACUAAUAUUUGUUAAGUUUUUUGGUUUUUUAGAUUCAGGGGGUACAUAUGCAGGUUUGUUAUGUGGGUGUGUUACAUGAUACUGAGACUGGCUUCUAGUGAUCCCAUCACCCAAGUAGUGAACAUAGGACCUGAUAGGUAGUUUUUCAACCCUCCCCCCCUCCCAUCCUCCCCCUUUUGGAAUCCUGAGUGUUUAUUCACAUUUUUGUGAAGAUGUUUGUUUUUGUGUAAAAGGAUGUCUUACACUCCUUUAAUAUUUUGGUGAAUUUACAUGAGAACUAACUUAUAUAAGUUUGUUCAUUUAUGACUCGGACCUCAGAGACAUGAGAACGUGUAUGUUAUUUUUAUCAGAC